Long non-coding RNA from Symsagittifera roscoffensis, 744 nucleotides. RefSeq lists it as uncharacterized. Lineage: Eukaryota; Metazoa; Xenacoelomorpha; Acoela; Convolutidae. The transcript is spliced from 3 exons. The record is from RefSeq and is a predicted model, not a curated record.
GUCUAAACUUGAGGUCGAUGACUUGUGGUGCUCAAACGAGGCACGCACCUGGUUAAAUAGAUUCAAAUAGACUUCAAAUUUAGAGCUGCUAAGUACUAAACAUCCAACUGCGAGCAGGUUUUUGCAGCUCUGCUUAACGCGAAUUAGAAGUCGAAAAAUAUGAACUCGCUGCAGAUUAUCGUUUCACUUUUUGUUGCAAUUCUGCUGGUUGACUAUCUUGAUUGCGCGAGAAUAUCGAAGCGUAAAUGCGGAGGAGAUAACAUGCUUUGGAGGGAGGACAAACUGAGAUCAUGUGAAGUGACCACUGGGAUGGAUUUCAAAGGGAUCUGCGGGGAGGGAUCGGCACACUUUGAGCAGACAAGAGACAUUGCCUGGUGGAUUUAUUCUGAUGAUGAUGGAAGUGAAGCCAAGUGUUCAAUGGGCAUAACCCACUUGUACGAUCCAGAUGGCCGACUGCUCUUUUACUGCCUCAUAAACUGUCCUAAGGGGGUUCAAAACAUUUAUCCCAGUGAAGACGCGUGUCUGAAAGCCUGUGGAAAGUGAGCUGAAAUUUAAAGAAACGAAACUAUGUCGAGAAAACAAAAAUGUCCGUCCCUACAAUUAUUUGUACAACUGUCUUGUCUAUGACUAAAAGCUUGUUGGGUCAAAAGUAUUAUACUUCACAAUAUUUUUUCGAGCAUAAAUUGGGGACCGGCAUAUUUGCAUGCCUACAGCUUAGCAUGUGGCUAUUAACGCAAAUGAAAU